This 1000-nucleotide long non-coding RNA is filed under the name Anas platyrhynchos platyrhynchos (common mallard). RNAcentral describes it as "lncRNA (ENSAPLG00000018071.1)". The record is from RNAcentral. Lineage: Eukaryota; Metazoa; Chordata; Aves; Anseriformes; Anatidae.
CUUGUAUUUAGGUUUUACUUCUGAAUCAGUCAUCCGUUCUUUCUAGAGACGAUUUGAACUGGAACCCUUUAUCUCAAUUUGUCUUAUUGCUAAAAUGUGUUUGUUUGAAUAGAGUAUAGUUGUGGCCCAGAACACUCCUGAUUCAGAGUUUGUUUUUGCAAACCUGAAAGGUGGACUCCAGCCCAUUCCUACCUUCGUAGGAGUUAAUCUUGCUGCCAUAUGUUUCUGUAAAUUUAAAGUGUCUGAUCAAAUAAGCAGGAAGAUCAGCUAAUAAUAGUGUAUGUAUUUGACAGAUAUGUAGUGAGUUUUGUUUUAAAAUAUCCCAUAAGAAUCCUGCAAACUACUUCAUAUGUAGGAGUAAUUUCACUUAUCCCCAGGUGGGAGCCAGCAGCAGUUCAGCCAUGUGGAGCCACACAACAGAACCACCGUGGGAAAGAAAUGAAGAGGGUUUCUAGAGAUGAUUGAAACUGCGAGGGAGGUUGGACAAGCAGAAGUGUGCCUCUCUUCUGUGGGAAUAGAGAAGAAACUAAUUCCAAGAGACCAUAUAGCAGAGCAGUCUUUCCAAGGAUGUGUGCCUGCCGCCGUGCCAAAAUCCUGUGUUCUACCACUGCUUUUCCUCUACAUGUAUAUCCUGGGGGGAUAUUCCCUGGGUCUGGCUCUGUGGAGGAACCUGCAUCUUUGAACCCUCAGUCCCUCUUGGCCCACCCCAGCACACAUCAGCAGGGAAACCAUCAAUAUGGGUUGGCUUUAUUUGUGGACGAAGCUGUUCUAUGAGCACUAGGGGCUGUCACUAGCCCCCAGGAGCCAAAUAUCAUGUAGGGCAUAAAGCCCUGGGCAAGGGACUCUCCACAUAACCUCGUGAUCUCCUUCACUGGUGUGAUCACUGCUGCUAAAGCUGCCCGUGCAGGAUGGGUGUUUGGACUUCCCUUCUCCUCUCCACACCCUCACUCAGAGGACUACAUCAGAGACAAAGAGCCUUUCAUGAAUGCAAAUUUCAGAC